The sequence is an RNase P RNA, 308 nucleotides long. It matches the Rfam family "Bacterial RNase P class A", at positions 49 to 367 of the family's 367-position model. From Rfam's summary of the family: Ribonuclease P (RNase P) is a ubiquitous endoribonuclease, found in archaea, bacteria and eukarya as well as chloroplasts and mitochondria. Its best characterised activity is the generation of mature 5'-ends of tRNAs by cleaving the 5'-leader elements of precursor-tRNAs.
AGUCCGGACUUCACAGGGCAGGACGGUGGGUAACGCCCACCCGGCGCGAGCCGCGGGAAAGUGUCACAGAAACCAUACCGCCCGUUACGGGUAAGGGUGAAAUGGUGAGGGUAAGAGCCCACCGCGUCGCCGGUGACGGCGGCGGCAGGACAAACCCCGUCCGAAGCAAGGCCGAAUAGGGAAGCCAUGGAGUGGCCCGCUCCGCUUCCGGGUAGGCCGCAUGAGGUGUCGGGCAACCGGCAUCCCAGAUGAAUGGUCACCGGCCGUUUACACGGUCACAGAAUCCGGCUUACAGCUCUUCUCCCCUC